RNAcentral lists this ribosomal RNA (258 nucleotides) under uncultured bacterium. RNAcentral's name for it is "partial 16S ribosomal RNA". It matches the Rfam family "Bacterial small subunit ribosomal RNA", at positions 96 to 354 of the family's 1533-position model. The record is from RNAcentral.
UGGCGGACGGGUGAGUAACGCGUGGAAAACCUGCCGUAUACUGGGGGAUAACACUUAGAAAUAGGUGCUAAUACCGCAUAAGCGCACAGCUUCGCAUGAAGCGGUGCGAAAAACUCUGGUGGUAUACGAUGGUUCCGCGUCUGAUUAGCUAGUUGGUGGGGUAAUGGCCUACCAAGGCAACGAUCAGUAGCCGGCCUGAGAGGGUGAACGGCCACAUUGGGACUGAGACACGGCCCAAACUCCUACGGGAGGCAGCAG